RNAcentral lists this ribosomal RNA (253 nucleotides) under uncultured bacterium. Its description in RNAcentral is "partial 16S ribosomal RNA". It matches the Rfam family "Bacterial small subunit ribosomal RNA", at positions 524 to 776 of the family's 1533-position model. The record is from RNAcentral.
UACGUAGGGUGCGAGCGUUAAUCGGAAUUACUGGGCGUAAAGCGUGCGCAGGCGGUUUUGUAAGUCAGAUGUGAAAUCCCCGAGCCCAACUUGGGAACUGCAAUUGUGACUGUAUGGCUAGAGUGUGUCAGAGGGGGGUAGAAUUCCACGUGUAGCAGUGAAAUGCGUAGAGAUGUGGAGGAAUACCGAUGGCGAAGGCAGCCCCCUGGGAUAACACUGACGCUCAUGCACGAAAGCGUGGGGAGCAAACAGG